Molecule: ribosomal RNA, 468 nt
Filed under: uncultured bacterium
Lineage: Bacteria
Description: partial 16S ribosomal RNA
Rfam family: Bacterial small subunit ribosomal RNA
Source: RNAcentral
GACGAACGCUGGCGGCGUGCUUAACACAUGCAAGUCGAACGGAAAGGCCCUGCUUUUGUGGGGUGCUCGAGUGGCGAACGGGUGAGUAACACGUGAGUAACCUGCCCUUGACUUUGGGAUAACUUCAGGAAACUGGGGCUAAUACCGGAUAGGAGCUCCUGCUGCAUGGUGGGGGUUGGAAAGUUUCGGCGGUUGGGGAUGGACUCACGGCUUAUCAGCUUGUUGGUGGGGUAGUGGCUUACCAAGGCUUUGACGGGUAGCUGGCCUGAGAGGGUGACCGGCCACAUUGGGACUGAGAUACGGCCCAGACUCCUACGGGAGGCAGCAGUGGGGAAUAUUGCACAAUGGGCGGAAGCCUGAUGCAGCAACGCCGCGUGCGGGAUGACGGCCUUCGGGUUGUAAACCGCUUUCGCCUGUGACGAAGCGUGAGUGACGGUAAUGGGUAAAGAAGCACCGGCUAACUACGUG